Molecule: ribosomal RNA, 301 nt
Filed under: uncultured bacterium
Lineage: Bacteria
Description: partial 16S ribosomal RNA
Rfam family: Bacterial small subunit ribosomal RNA
Source: RNAcentral
CAGUAGCCGCGGUAAAACGUAGGUCCCGAGCGUUGUCCGGAUUUAUUGGGCGUAAAGCGAGCGCAGGCGGUUAGAUAAGUCUGAAGUUAAAGGCUGUGGCUUAACCAUAGUACGCUUUGGAAACUGUUUAACUUGAGUGCAAGAGGGGAGAGUGGAAUUCCAUGUGUAGCGGUGAAAUGCGUAGAUAUAUGGAGGAACACCGGUGGCGGAAGCGGCUCUCUGGCUUGUAACUGACGCUGAGGCUCGAAAGCGUGGGGCGCAAACAGGAUUAGAUACCCCUGUAGUCCCUGUCUCUUAUACA